RNAcentral lists this transfer RNA (68 nucleotides) under Marmota monax (woodchuck). RNAcentral describes it as "tRNA.Ala". The record is from RNAcentral. Lineage: Eukaryota; Metazoa; Chordata; Mammalia; Rodentia; Sciuridae.
GGAUUGUGGCUCAGUGGUAGAAUGCUCGCCUAGCAUGCAUGAGGCACUGGGUUUGAUCCUCAGCACCA